RNAcentral lists this ribosomal RNA (886 nucleotides) under uncultured bacterium. RNAcentral describes it as "bacterial SSU rRNA". It matches the Rfam family "Bacterial small subunit ribosomal RNA", at positions 505 to 1397 of the family's 1533-position model. The record is from RNAcentral.
GUGCCAGCUGCCGCGGUAAUACGGAGGAUGCAAGCUUUAUCCGGAUUUAUUGGGUUUAAAGGGUGCGUAGGCGGUUUGCUAAGCGGGAGGUGAAAUGCCGGCGCUCAACGUCGGAAGUGCCUCCCGAACUGGUGGACUGGAAUGACUCUGCCGUGGGAGGAAUGUGUAGUGUAGCGGUGAAAUGCUUAGAGAUUACACAGAACACCGAUUGCGAAGGCAUCUCACGAAGGGUUGAUUGACGCUGAGGCACGAAAGCGUGGGGAUCAAACAGGAUUAGAUACCCUGGUAGUCCACGCAGUAAACGAUGAUGGCUAACCGCUGGGCUUAUCAGUUCAGUGGCCAAGCGAAAGCGAUAAGCCAUCCACCUGGGGAGUACGACCGCAAGGUUGAAACUCAAAGGAAUUGACGGGGGCCCGCACAAGCGGAGGAACAUGUGGUUUAAUUCGAUGAUACGCGAGGAACCUUACCCGGGCUCGAACGGCAGAGGAAGGACCCAGAGAUGGGAACGCUUCGGGGCUUCUGUCGAGGUGCUGCAUGGUUGUCGUCAGCUCGUGCCGUGAGGUGUCGGCUCAAGUGCCAUAACGAGCGCAACCCUUGCCGUCAGUUACCAUCAAGUGAUGUUGGGGACUCUGGCGGGACUGCCACCGCAAGGUGUGAGGAAGGGGGGGAUGACGUCAAAUCAGCACGGCCCUUACGUCCGGGGCGACACACGUGUUACAAUGGCGGCCACAGAGGGGCACUACUGGCGACAGGAUGGGAAUCUCGAAAAGCCGUCUCAGUCCGGAUCGGAGUCUGCAACCCGACUCCGUGAAGCUGGAUUCGCUAGUAAUCGCGCAUCAGCCAUGGCGCGGUGAAUACGUUCCCGGGCCUUGUACACACCGCCCGU